This 253-nucleotide ribosomal RNA is filed under the name uncultured bacterium. Its description in RNAcentral is "partial 16S ribosomal RNA". It matches the Rfam family "Bacterial small subunit ribosomal RNA", at positions 524 to 776 of the family's 1533-position model. The record is from RNAcentral.
UACGAAGGGGGCUAGCGUUGCUCGGAAUCACUGGGCGUAAAGGGUGCGUAGGCGGGUCUUUAAGUCCGGGGUGAAAUCCUGGAGCUCAACUCCAGAACUGCCUUUGAUACUGAGGAUCUUGAGUUCGGGAGAGGUGAGUGGAACUGCGAGUGUAGAGGUGAAAUUCGUAGAUAUUCGCAAGAACACCGGUGGCGAAGGCGGCUCGCUGGCCCGAUACUGACGCUGAGGCACGAAAGCGUGGGGAGCAAACAGG